UGGGGAAUAUUGGACAAUGGGCGAAAGCCUGAUCCAGCCAUGCCGCGUGUGUGAAGAAGGUCUUCGGAUUGUAAAGCACUUUAAGUUGGGAGGAAGGGCAUUAACCUAAUACGUUAGUGUUUUGACGUUACCGACAGAAUAAGCACCGGCUAACUCUGUGCCAGCAGCCGCGGUAAUACAGAGGGUGCAAGCGUUAAUCGGAAUUACUGGGCGUAAAGCGCGCGUAGGUGGUUUGUUAAUUUGGAUGUGAAAUCCCCGGGCUCAACCUGGGAACUGCAUUCAAAACUGACUGACUAGAGUAUGGUAGAGGGUGGUGGAAUUUCCUGUGUAGCGGUGAAAUGCGUAGAUAUAGGAAGGAACACCAGUGGCGAAGGCGACCACCUGGACUAAUACUGACACUGAGGUGCGAAAGCGUGGGGAGCAAACA
RNAcentral lists this ribosomal RNA (427 nucleotides) under uncultured bacterium. Its description in RNAcentral is "partial 16S ribosomal RNA". It matches the Rfam family "Bacterial small subunit ribosomal RNA", at positions 355 to 774 of the family's 1533-position model. The record is from RNAcentral.